This 96-nucleotide signal recognition particle RNA is filed under the name Coriobacteriaceae bacterium. Its description in RNAcentral is "signal recognition particle sRNA small type". It matches the Rfam family "Bacterial small signal recognition particle RNA". From Rfam's summary of the family: The signal recognition particle (SRP) is a universally conserved ribonucleoprotein involved in the co-translational targeting of proteins to membranes. Archaeal SRP consists of a 7S RNA and homologues of the eukaryotic SRP19 and SRP54 proteins. In most bacteria, the SRP consists of a 4.5S RNA and the Ffh protein (a homologue of the eukaryotic SRP54 protein). The record is from RNAcentral. Lineage: Bacteria; Bacillati; Actinomycetota; Coriobacteriia; Coriobacteriales; Coriobacteriaceae.
CGAAUGGGUCGGGGCGGCAUCAAGUUUUGAACCUGGUCAGGUCCGGAAGGAAGCAGCCAUAAAGAACCGCUGAUGAGCGCCCUUACCCAUUCGGGA